Bufo bufo (common toad) is the source of this 214-nucleotide long non-coding RNA. RefSeq lists it as uncharacterized. NCBI's taxonomy places the organism in Eukaryota, Metazoa, Chordata, Amphibia, Anura, Bufonidae. The record is from RefSeq and is a predicted model, not a curated record. The transcript has 3 exons.
UUCAUGAAUAACCAGGACUCCUCAGGUGGCCAGGACUCUUUUCCAGGCCCAGUCUGCAAUGAUUGUGAUGUUGGUUCUCGGCAACCACUUACUUUUAACUUAUAAAUGACAGAUCGCUGAAAUCAACUAACCUGUCUCUGCUUUAUACUGCCGUUAGUAUGGACAGCAUAAAGUUGAUGACAGGUUCUCUUUAAUGAAGCAAUCUACAACCAGC